Molecule: long non-coding RNA, 388 nt
Organism: Leguminivora glycinivorella
Lineage: Eukaryota; Metazoa; Arthropoda; Insecta; Lepidoptera; Tortricidae
Exons: 3
Source: RefSeq, a predicted model, not a curated record
GAAGGAUGCAGUGCAAGGCUACAGUAUUGGCGGCAAGAUAGACAUCAGUAAUUGCAAGUAAGAAGUUCAACGAGUUCCUGAAGCUAAAUGGGAUACUGCAUCAAAGGACAAAUCCUUAUACUCCUGAACAAGAUGGAUUAUGUGAACGGCAGAAUCGUGUGGUCUGUGAGAAAGCUAGAUGCUUAUUAUUUGAUGCUGAGCUACCCACAGAGUUCUGGGCAGAAGCGUGUAAUUGUGCAGUUUACUUAAGGAACCGGACAAUAGCUUCAGGUUUGAACAACAAAACUCCUUUUGAAAUGUGGACAGGGACACAGCCAGACCUGAGCCAUCUAAGGAUUUUCGGCAGUACUGUCAUGGUCCACAUUCCCAAAGAGAAAAGGUUGAAGUG